RNAcentral lists this ribosomal RNA (511 nucleotides) under uncultured Stenotrophomonas sp. RNAcentral's name for it is "bacterial SSU rRNA". It matches the Rfam family "Bacterial small subunit ribosomal RNA", at positions 9 to 507 of the family's 1533-position model. The record is from RNAcentral. Lineage: Bacteria; Pseudomonadati; Pseudomonadota; Gammaproteobacteria; Lysobacterales; Lysobacteraceae.
GAGUUUGAUCCUGGCUCAGAGUGAACGCUGGCGGUAGGCCUAACACAUGCAAGUCGAACGGCAGCACAGUAAGAGCUUGCUCUUAUGGGUGGCGAGUGGCGGACGGGUGAGGAAUACAUCGGAAUCUACCUUUUCGUGGGGGAUAACGUAGGGAAACUUACGCUAAUACCGCAUACGACCUUCGGGUGAAAGCAGGGGACCUUCGGGCCUUGCGCGGAUAGAUGAGCCGAUGUCGGAUUAGCUAGUUGGCGGGGUAAAGGCCCACCAAGGCGACGAUCCGUAGCUGGUCUGAGAGGAUGAUCAGCCACACUGGAACUGAGACACGGUCCAGACUCCUACGGGAGGCAGCAGUGGGGAAUAUUGGACAAUGGGCGCAAGCCUGAUCCAGCCAUACCGCGUGGGUGAAGAAGGCCUUCGGGUUGUAAAGCCCUUUUGUUGGGAAAGAAAAGCAGUCGAUUAAUACUCGGUUGUUCUGACGGUACCCAAAGAAUAAGCACCGGCUAACUUCGUG